RNAcentral lists this unclassified non-coding RNA (3180 nucleotides) under Leishmania donovani. RNAcentral describes it as "gene:LdHU3.31.3110(CDS-product:Sphingosine_N-acyl transferase_putative)". Lineage: Eukaryota; Euglenozoa; Kinetoplastea; Trypanosomatida; Trypanosomatidae. The record is from RNAcentral.
UGCACACAUGUACGCAUACACACGCAGCAUAUGUGUAGCUUAUAACCGAGAUAAGCAUAACGGAUCCACGCACAAUUUCUCUGCCCACCUUUACAUCCUCCGCUCCUAACCCGCGCGCACACACACAUAUAUAUAACGUGGUCGUUUCUCAGCUCCGAGUGAUAGCCGUCGCCUAAUCGCCCACUCGCUCUUGUGCAUUACUCCCUCCAUCCCUCUCUCUCUCCCGUUUUACAGUCUGCCUGAGAAAAGGAAGAGGGUGUGUGUGGAAGAGGCAACGCGCUAAGAAGCGUAUCACGUGCUCGUUUUUUUUCUCCUACGUCUUCUUCACACUCUUGUGUUGCGUGUGUCUGUGGUCGGCUCAGCCAGCGUACCUCACAUCUCUUUUUCUUAUCACCGCCCUCUCCCCACACACACGCACUUUUUUUUCGCGGGCUGUUUUCUCUCCUUUCUCACUAUCAAAUACCUUACGCCUUUAAGAUUCCCGUUGUCGCUGUGCUGCCUCCUCUUCUAUCACCGUGUAGCAGACCGCCCACAUGCAUACAAGAAACACGUACAAUCACUCCUCUACAUGCAUAGCCGCCCCUGUCUUUAUGUAGCUCCUCUGUUGCGCUGUAGCUGUGCUCUUGAUUACCUUUAUUCCUUUCUCUGCCUCGCUACAGCCUGUCUUUUUCUUCGUACCCGCGCAGCUGCUGCUGAGCAUCAUGGCGCUUCGUUACUCUGCGGAGACCAUGCGGGUUCAGGGAAUCGGCAGCCCGUACGCAUCUCUGGCGGAGCUCUAUAUACCUGAUCCAACCAACGCAUCCCGCCGCACCCUGGAUACUGCACGCACCACACUGAAUUGGUCGGAGCUGCCAAGCGCCUUCCUCAACAUCAAGGCUUACCAAGACAAAGUCGGUGUGGGCUGCAGCGGCUGGGGAAUGGAUGUGAGCUUGCUCUUGGUGCUGUACCCGGCCGUGUACUGGUUCCUGGGUAUUAUGUUGAUCCGCUACCUCUGCCGCGAGCCGUUCGCGCGCUUUGGCAUCUACAUGGGCGUCGUCACAGAGAAAUCCACAUGCCGCCAUCGCGGCAUCGCUUCCGGCAAGCGUGGCGUGGCCUCCCUGUCACCACGCAAUCGGAAAAAGAUCAUGAAGUUUCAGAACCAGAUGUGGCUGUCGAUGUUCUAUUUUGCCUCCUCCUGCUUCGGUUACUACGUCCAGCGUGAUCAGCCCUGGUUCAAACUGCCGCUCGACGACGAAGCCAGCUUGCACCUGCUGCUGCCGCACCCGUACAACCCGCCAGAGGAGCUGAUCAUGUACUACCACUACGGCCUGGCCUUCUACUUUGCCGAGCUCUGCUCCCUCUUCAUCAUUGAGCGCCACAUGAAGCGGUCGGACUUUUUGGAGUACGCGGUGCACCACAUCACGACGCUGCUGCUCAUUCUCUGCUCCCACAUCGGUCUCGAGCACCGCUUUGGCGCUUACGUGCUCUUCAUCCACGAUGCCUCCGACAUCAUGCUGUCUGUCAGCAAGUCCCUCCACUACAUGUGGCAGGAAGAGACUGCGCGUCGGGAGCGCCGCAACACCAAGAAUGCCGAGGAGAGGAACAGCAAGGCGCACCGGAAGUCGUUCCUGCAGCGGUGCGUCGUCUCAGAGCUGAGCUUGAACUGCUGCUUUGCCGCCUUCACUUUGCUCUUCUUCUUUUUUCGACUCUACUGCCUGCCUUUUACGGGCAAGGCAACAAUCCGCAUGUCCCCCAAGGUGCGUCACGGCAACUUCAACAUGUGGAUGCUCGUCUUCCUGCUGAACGUGGCGCUGCAGGGGCUGCAUGUGUACUGGGCGGUCCUCAUCAUUGUUUUGUCACUGUCUAUUGCGAAGGGUGGAGAACUAAGGGACAUCCGUUCCGACGAUGAGGAGGAUUCCGAGUGCCCCUCGUGUGGCCAUCAGAGGUCGCUGACGGAAUCGAACGGCGCCGCCGCCGCUGAGGAAGGCAAAGGCAUGCAACAGCGCAAUGUAGCGCGCGAGAGCAAAGCCGCGCCGUCCUUGUCUUCAUCCCUGGCGUCGACUCGCAACCGCUCGCAGCGCCGCGGCUCCUCCAAACGGAAGGAGUAGUCGAAAGACGAACAACAACGCACACACAAAGAAAAAUACGCCCAAUGGAAGACGAAAAGAAGCUUUCAUCUCCGCUGUCGACAGCGAGCGAGUCAUCUCCUACGCGCUUCGCGCACUUGUGUGUUCGGGGGAUGCGAUAUUUUUUAUCAUUACUUUGUUUUGCCUGUUUCAUAAAGUAGCCGGCUUUAAAGGUUUGUGGGGAGAGGGGUGGGGGCAAUCCGCUGGCACACACAGAGGCGGACGCGACCUGGAACGGCUCCUUUUCUCUAUCGAUCCGUCUUGCCACUGCCACCACGACCGUCACCCUUCUUCUGGUCUUCUUUUUGUCGAAACGGCUGUUUAGAUCUGCAGACAGGCCGCCAGGAGCACAAACACACACAGGCGCAUCUGCACAUGUACGUGUGUUUCGGAUUACUACUUGUAUGGGAGCUAAUGAGCGGAGAGUCUGCUUGUAGAGGGGCAGCGCGUCUUUGCUGUCUCUGUUUUGUUAUGUGGUGCCCUUGUUUUUUUUUUUGAGCGCGGGCGAGCGCCAGUGGCGGCGGCCUCGGGUGUGGGCCGAGGGGUGAAGGGUCGAAAGUAUGAAAGCGAUAAAGAGAGCGAGAGACAGCGGCUCCUCCCACUUUUUCCUUUUCUUUCUUUAUUGCGCGCGCGAAUUCGAUGCGUAUGGCCAUACCGCCUGCUAGCCAUUCCGCUGUGCCUUCUCAGCUCUGUGUUGCUCCUUCUCUCUCCUGUGUUUGUGUGUGUGUGUGUGUGUUGUUGGUUGGCUGGUUGGCAAGUUUUCUUCUUUGUGCCUUUUUCGUCUUUCGCCGUGUGCCUGGUACUAUGCCAGCCCGAUUAGUGGUGUAUACGUGUGCUGGUGGAAGUACUCACACGCGUGGAAGUAGGACGCUAGAUACGCUGCGACAACAAUCCAUCAUGUAGUCACCUGAAUUCCUAGUGAUUGUGUUCGGCUCGCUUGUAGGCCUAAAUUGGGACUGCUGCAGUUUGUACCGGUGUGCAUGCACCCUUCUUAUGUUCAUGUUGCUGCCACUGACUCGCCCCUCCCUUAAUGUUUGCAGAGCUCUCUGAGUGAUCAUCAUCAACUGCGUCUUCG